CGCUUUUAUUUCCGGUAAUGGUUCGUCCGGUAAUAAUUUUAAAAUCCAGGAAGGAAGAAGCGCCGAGAGGGUCCGUUCUUCAAGUUGUGAAAGAAAAAGAACAAACCAACUUACUUUUCUGUAAGACAAAGAAGGGCUGCAUUUAGAGCUUCUGAAGGUCAUCGUGGAGCCCCCUCUGGCAAUCCCUGGGCUGAGGAGCCUCAACUCUCGUUCAGAAUGUGACGCGGAGAGUGGACGGUGCCCAUGACUGAUCUAGAGACCUUUGACAUGAUGUCCAAGUAAAUAAAUGACAAACAGGAUGCAAGACUGAAUGACAGAAUGAUUAAGCUUAGAAUUGAUUGCAAAGCAGUCUUGUGUUAGGAGGCCGCUGAUUUGAAGACCUGCAUGUUUCCAAGACCAUGGACCGACUCUACACAAAUGACAAUGACAACGUUCAAUAUGCGUGCUUGUGUGACUCGUGCAGAAAGCCCUCAGGAAGGCUGCUCUGAUAGCGCUGACUAAUCCCAAGGUCUACAAUGGGUGGUGCCUGAUGUACAUCGAGUUCAUCUUUGUAGAAGCUGUUGGCGACACGCACAGAGGCCACGGAUGUUGAAACAAGGACCUCAAUGGUUUUAAAAUUAAAACGGGCUCCAGCGCUGAGUAGCAAAGGGGGCUAUCAAAAGCCCACAAGAGAGUGAUGUUUAUAUUGUUGUGUUUCGCCGAGCUCGUUGUUUUGUUUGAUAUGUCCUACAUAAAAUAUGUAUAUAUUUAUAUUGUAACGUAGUAGUUCUGU
This is a long non-coding RNA of Syngnathus acus (greater pipefish), 772 nucleotides long. RefSeq lists it as uncharacterized. NCBI's taxonomy places the organism in Eukaryota, Metazoa, Chordata, Actinopteri, Syngnathiformes, Syngnathidae. The transcript has 5 exons. The record is from RefSeq and is a predicted model, not a curated record.